This 3985-nucleotide ribosomal RNA is filed under the name Escherichia coli. RNAcentral describes it as "bacterial LSU rRNA". The stretch from base 1 to 2866 matches the Rfam family "Bacterial large subunit ribosomal RNA". Lineage: Bacteria; Pseudomonadati; Pseudomonadota; Gammaproteobacteria; Enterobacterales; Enterobacteriaceae. The record is from RNAcentral.
UUAAGCGACUAAGCGUACACGGUGGAUGCCCUGGCAGUCAGAGGCGAUGAAGGACGUGCUAAUCUGCGAUAAGCGUCGGUAAGGUGAUAUGAACCGUUAUAACCGGCGAUUUCCGAAUGGGGAAACCCAGUGUGAUUCGUCACACUAUCAUUAACUGAAUCCAUAGGUUAAUGAGGCGAACCGGGGGAACUGAAACAUCUAAGUACCCCGAGGAAAAGAAAUCAACCGAGAUUCCCCCAGUAGCGGCGAGCGAACGGGGAGGAGCCCAGAGCCUGAAUCAGUGUGUGUGUUAGUGGAAGCGUCUGGAAAGGCGCGCGAUACAGGGUGACAGCCCCGUACACAAAAAUGCACAUGCUGUGAGCUCGAUGAGUAGGGCGGGACACGUGGUAUCCUGUCUGAAUAUGGGGGGACCAUCCUCCAAGGCUAAAUACUCCUGACUGACCGAUAGUGAACCAGUACCGUGAGGGAAAGGCGAAAAGAACCCCGGCGAGGGGAGUGAAAAAGAACCUGAAACCGUGUACGUACAAGCAGUGGGAGCACGCUUAGGCGUGUGACUGCGUACCUUUUGUAUAAUGGGUCAGCGACUUAUAUUCUGUAGCAAGGUUAACCGAAUAGGGGAGCCGAAGGGAAACCGAGUCUUAACUGGGCGUUAAGUUGCAGGGUAUAGACCCGAAACCCGGUGAUCUAGCCAUGGGCAGGUUGAAGGUUGGGUAACACUAACUGGAGGACCGAACCGACUAAUGUUGAAAAAUUAGCGGAUGACUUGUGGCUGGGGGUGAAAGGCCAAUCAAACCGGGAGAUAGCUGGUUCUCCCCGAAAGCUAUUUAGGUAGCGCCUCGUGAAUUCAUCUCCGGGGGUAGAGCACUGUUUCGGCAAGGGGGUCAUCCCGACUUACCAACCCGAUGCAAACUGCGAAUACCGGAGAAUGUUAUCACGGGAGACACACGGCGGGUGCUAACGUCCGUCGUGAAGAGGGAAACAACCCAGACCGCCAGCUAAGGUCCCAAAGUCAUGGUUAAGUGGGAAACGAUGUGGGAAGGCCCAGACAGCCAGGAUGUUGGCUUAGAAGCAGCCAUCAUUUAAAGAAAGCGUAAUAGCUCACUGGUCGAGUCGGCCUGCGCGGAAGAUGUAACGGGGCUAAACCAUGCACCGAAGCUGCGGCAGCGACGCUUAUGCGUUGUUGGGUAGGGGAGCGUUCUGUAAGCCUGCGAAGGUGUGCUGUGAGGCAUGCUGGAGGUAUCAGAAGUGCGAAUGCUGACAUAAGUAACGAUAAAGCGGGUGAAAAGCCCGCUCGCCGGAAGACCAAGGGUUCCUGUCCAACGUUAAUCGGGGCAGGGUGAGUCGACCCCUAAGGCGAGGCCGAAAGGCGUAGUCGAUGGGAAACAGGUUAAUAUUCCUGUACUUGGUGUUACUGCGAAGGGGGGACGGAGAAGGCUAUGUUGGCCGGGCGACGGUUGUCCCGGUUUAAGCGUGUAGGCUGGUUUUCCAGGCAAAUCCGGAAAAUCAAGGCUGAGGCGUGAUGACGAGGCACUACGGUGCUGAAGCAACAAAUGCCCUGCUUCCAGGAAAAGCCUCUAAGCAUCAGGUAACAUCAAAUCGUACCCCAAACCGACACAGGUGGUCAGGUAGAGAAUACCAAGGCGCUUGAGAGAACUCGGGUGAAGGAACUAGGCAAAAUGGUGCCGUAACUUCGGGAGAAGGCACGCUGAUAUGUAGGUGAAGCGACUUGCUCGUGGAGCUGAAAUCAGUCGAAGAUACCAGCUGGCUGCAACUGUUUAUUAAAAACACAGCACUGUGCAAACACGAAAGUGGACGUAUACGGUGUGACGCCUGCCCGGUGCCGGAAGGUUAAUUGAUGGGGUCAGCGCAAGCGAAGCUCUUGAUCGAAGCCCCGGUAAACGGCGGCCGUAACUAUAACGGUCCUAAGGUAGCGAAAUUCCUUGUCGGGUAAGUUCCGACCUGCACGAAUGGCGUAAUGAUGGCCAGGCUGUCUCCACCCGAGACUCAGUGAAAUUGAACUCGCUGUGAAGAUGCAGUGUACCCGCGGCAAGACGGAAAGACCCCGUGAACCUUUACUAUAGCUUGACACUGAACAUUGAGCCUUGAUGUGUAGGAUAGGUGGGAGGCUUUGAAGUGUGGACGCCAGUCUGCAUGGAGCCGACCUUGAAAUACCACCCUUUAAUGUUUGAUGUUCUAACGUUGACCCGUGAUCCGGGUUGCGGACAGUGUCUGGUGGGUAGUUUGACUGGGGCGGUCUCCUCCUAAAGAGUAACGGAGGAGCACGAAGGUUGGCUAAUCCUGGUCGGACAUCAGGAGGUUAGUGCAAUGGCAUAAGCCAGCUUGACUGCGAGCGUGACGGCGCGAGCAGGUGCGAAAGCAGGUCAUAGUGAUCCGGUGGUUCUGAAUGGAAGGGCCAUCGCUCAACGGAUAAAAGGUACUCCGGGGAUAACAGGCUGAUACCGCCCAAGAGUUCAUAUCGACGGCGGUGUUUGGCACCUCGAUGUCGGCUCAUCACAUCCUGGGGCUGAAGUAGGUCCCAAGGGUAUGGCUGUUCGCCAUUUAAAGUGGUACGCGAGCUGGGUUUAGAACGUCGUGAGACAGUUCGGUCCCUAUCUGCCGUGGGCGCUGGAGAACUGAGGGGGGCUGCUCCUAGUACGAGAGGACCGGAGUGGACGCAUCACUGGUGUUCGGGUUGUCAUGCCAAUGGCACUGCCCGGUAGCUAAAUGCGGAAGAGAUAAGUGCUGAAAGCAUCUAAGCACGAAACUUGCCCCGAGAUGAGUUCUNACGCUGAUAUGUAGGUGAAGUCCCUCGCGGAUGGAGCUGAAAUCAGUCGAAGAUACCAGCUGGCUGCAACUGUUUAUUAAAAACACAGCACUGUGCAAACACGAAAGUGGACGUAUACGGUGUGACGCCUGCCCGGUGCCGGAAGGUUAAUUGAUGGGGUUAGCGCAAGCGAAGCUCUUGAUCGAAGCCCCGGUAAACGGCGGCCGUAACUAUAACGGUCCUAAGGUAGCGAAAUUCCUUGUCGGGUAAGUUCCGACCUGCACGAAUGGCGUAAUGAUGGCCAGGCUGUCUCCACCCGAGACUCAGUGAAAUUGAACUCGCUGUGAAGAUGCAGUGUACCCGCGGCAAGACGGAAAGACCCCGUGAACCUUUACUAUAGCUUGACACUGAACAUUGAGCCUUGAUGUGUAGGAUAGGUGGGAGGCUUGGAAGUGUGGACGCCAGUCUGCAUGGAGCCGACCUUGAAAUACCACCCUUUAAUGUUUGAUGUUCUAACGUUGACCCGUAAUCCGGGUUGCGGACAGUGUCUGGUGGGUAGUUUGACUGGGGCGGUCUCCUCCUAAAGAGUAACGGAGGAGCACGAAGGUUGGCUAAUCCUGGUCGGACAUCAGGAGGUUAGUGCAAUGGCAUAAGCCAGCUUGACUGCGAGCGUGACGGCGCGAGCAGGUGCGAAAGCAGGUCAUAGUGAUCCGGUGGUUCUGAAUGGAAGGGCCAUCGCUCAACGGAUAAAAGGUACUCCGGGGAUAACAGGCUGAUACCGCCCAAGAGUUCAUAUCGACGGCGGUGUUUGGCACCUCGAUGUCGGCUCAUCACAUCCUGGGGCUGAAGUAGGUCCCAAGGGUAUGGCUGUUCGCCAUUUAAAGUGGUACGCGAGCUGGGUUUAGAACGUCGUGAGACAGUUCGGUCCCUAUCUGCCGUGGGCGCUGGAGAACUGAGGGGGGCUGCUCCUAGUACGAGAGGACCGGAGUGGACGCAUCACUGGUGUUCGGGUUGUCAUGCCAAUGGCACUGCCCGGUAGCUAAAUGCGGAAGAGAUAAGUGCUGAAAGCAUCUAAGCACGAAACUUGCCCCGAGAUGAGUUCUCCCUGACUCCUUGAGAGUCCUGAAGGAACGUUGAAGACGACGACGUUGAUAGGCCGGGUGUGUAAGCGCAGCGAUGCGUUGAGCUAACCGGUACUAAUGAACCGUGAGGCUUAACCUU